CCUACGGGAGGCAGCAGUGAGGAAUAUUGGUCAAUGGGCGGAAGCCUGAACCAGCCAAGUCGCGUGAGGGAAUAAGGCCCUACGGGUCGUAAACCUCUUUUGUCGGGGAGCAAGGGCGGGGACGUGUCCCCGCCCGGAGAGUACCCGGAGAAAAAGCAUCGGCGAACUCCGUGCCAGCAGCCGCGGUAAUACGGAGGAUGCGAGCGUUAUCCGGAUUGAUUGGGUUUAAAGGGUGCGUAGGCGGGCUUUUAAGUCAGCGGUAAAAAUUCGGGGCUCAACCCCGUCCGGCCGUUGAAACUGGGGGCCUUGAGUGGGCGAGAAGAAGGCGGAAUGCGUGGUGUAGCGGUGAAAUGCAUAGAUAUCGCGCAGAACCCCGAUUGCGAAGGCAGCCUUCCGGCGCCCUACUGACGCUGAGGCACGAAAGUGCGGGGAUCGAACAGGAUUAGAUACCCCAGUAGUC
This 460-nucleotide ribosomal RNA is filed under the name uncultured bacterium. RNAcentral's name for it is "partial 16S ribosomal RNA". It matches the Rfam family "Bacterial small subunit ribosomal RNA", at positions 338 to 795 of the family's 1533-position model. The record is from RNAcentral.